RNAcentral lists this ribosomal RNA (450 nucleotides) under uncultured Glomeromycotina. RNAcentral's name for it is "SSU rRNA". It matches the Rfam family "Eukaryotic small subunit ribosomal RNA", at positions 569 to 1026 of the family's 1831-position model. The record is from RNAcentral. Lineage: Eukaryota; Fungi; Glomeromycota.
AGCAGCCGCGGUAAUUCCAGCUCCAAUAGCGUAUAUUAAAGUUGUUGCAAUUAAAAAGCUCGUAGUUGAAUUUCGGGAUCAAGGAAUCGGUCAUGCCUUGGUAUGCACUGGUUUCAUUGAUUCUCACCUUCUAAAGAACCAUAAUGUCAUUUAUUUGAUGUUAUGGGGAAUUAGGACUGUUACCUUGAAAAAAUUAGAGUGUUUAAAGCAGGCUUACGCUUGAAUACAUUAGCAUGGAAUAAUGAAAUAGGACAUCAGAUUCUAUUUUGUUGGUUUCUAGGAUCGAUGUAAUGAUUAAUAGGGAUAUUGGGGGCAUUAGUAUUCAAUUGUCAGAGGUGAAAUUCUUGGAUUUAUUGAAGACUAACUACUGCGAAAGCAUUUGCCAAGGAUGUUUUCAUUAAUCAAGAACGAAAUUAGGGGAUCGAAGACGAUCAGAUACCGUCGUAGUCU